GACGAACGCUGGCGGCGUGCUUAACACAUGCAAGUCGAACGGAAAGGCCCUGCUUUUGUGGGGUGCUCGAGUGGCGAACGGGUGAGUAACACGUGAGUAACCUGCCCUUGACUUUGGGAUAACUUCAGGAAACUGGGGCUAAUACCGGAUAGGAGCUCCUGCUGCAUGGUGGGGGUUGGAAAGUUUCGGCGGUUGGGGCUGGACUCGCGGCUUAUCAGCUUGUUGGUGGGGUAGUGGCUUACCAAGGCUUUGACGGGUAGCCGGCCUGAGAGGGUGACCGGCCACAUUGGGACUGAGAUACGGCGCAGACUGCUACGGGAGGCAGCAGUGGGGAAUAUUGCACAAUGGGCGGAAGCCUGAUGCAGCAACGCCGCGUGCGGGAUGACGGCCUUCGGGUUGUAAACCGCUUUCGACUGUGACGAAGCGUGAGUGACGGUAAUGGGUAAAGAAGCACCGGCUAACUACGUG
This 468-nucleotide ribosomal RNA is filed under the name uncultured bacterium. RNAcentral's name for it is "partial 16S ribosomal RNA". It matches the Rfam family "Bacterial small subunit ribosomal RNA", at positions 28 to 507 of the family's 1533-position model. The record is from RNAcentral.